AUACAGAGGGUGCAAGCGUUAAUCGGAAUUACUGGGCGUAAAGCGCGCGUAGGCGGCUUGGUAAGUCGGAUGUGAAAGCCCUGGGCUCAACCUGGGAAUUGCACUCGAUACUGCAGAGCUAGAGUAUGGUAGAGGGAAGUGGAAUUUCCGGUGUAGCGGUGAAAUGCGUAGAUAUCGGAAGGAACACCAGUGGCGAAGGCGACUUCCUGGGCCAAUACUGACGCUGAGGUGCGAAAGCGUGGGGAGCAAACAGGAUUAGAAACCCCGGUAGUCC
This 274-nucleotide ribosomal RNA is filed under the name uncultured bacterium. Its description in RNAcentral is "partial 16S ribosomal RNA". It matches the Rfam family "Bacterial small subunit ribosomal RNA", at positions 523 to 796 of the family's 1533-position model. The record is from RNAcentral.